GAUGAACGCUGGCGGCGUGCCUAAUACAUGCAAGUCGAGCGAACGGACGAGAAGCUUGCUUCUCUGAUGUUAGCGGCGGACGGGUGAGUAACACGUGGAUAACCUACCUAUAAGACUGGGAUAACUUCGGGAAACCGGAGCUAAUACCGGAUAAUAUUUUGAACCGCAUGGUUCAAAAGUGAAAGACGGUCUUGCUGUCACUUAUAGAUGGAUCCGCGCUGCAUUAGCUAGUUGGUAAGGUAACGGCUUACCAAGGCAACGAUGCAUAGCCGACCUGAGAGGGUGAUCGGCCACACUGGAACUGAAACGCGGUCCAGACUCCUACGGGAGGCAGCAGUAGGGAAUCUUCCGCAAUGGGCGAAAGCCUGACGGAGCAACGCCGCGUGAGUGAUGAAGGUCUUCGGAUCGUAAAACUCUGUUAUUAGGGAAGAACAUAUGUGUAAGUAACUGUGCACAUCUUGACGGUACCUAAUCAGAAAGCCACGGCUAACUACGUG
This 497-nucleotide ribosomal RNA is filed under the name uncultured bacterium. RNAcentral's name for it is "partial 16S ribosomal RNA". It matches the Rfam family "Bacterial small subunit ribosomal RNA", at positions 28 to 507 of the family's 1533-position model. The record is from RNAcentral.